GAAUUCGGAAUUCCGGGAAGAGGAAACGAAAGUGCUGAAUCGACAGAAUCAUCAUCGGAUGAUAUGGACGAGUGAACGAGUUACCAGUGUUGAAAUAACGGUACUUAUUUAUCAUAGCAUUCAUAACUAUCUAUCAAAAGACGAAUACCGCAGCAAAAACUACAAGUGUAAACGGACCUUAUAGGCAGAUUAUAAAGAAUACACCCGCGAUACUAUUGGUUUACUCCAGCAUAUGACUCCAGUCACAAAUUAAGUCAGCAAUUAAAGAAGAUUAGCGACAAUAACCGCGUUUACACUAAAACCCGAUUCUCGAAGCGACGUAUAGCAAAUCGCUUAUUAGGCACCUAAAAAUUGCAUUGCCACAGAUUAUUGAGAUCGCCUUCUUUCGGCGAUGUAUUAAUUAGACCUGAGUGUCUGGACUGCAGACCGCCUUUCUAAGUUUUCUUUUAUCUGACACCUGUAAAACUAUAGAUAUCACUAGAUAUUUAAUGUGAUUAACCGCGUACUGUGUCAUUGUGUCAUUGUGGGAACAAUGUCUACGAUUGCAUUACGUCAUUUUCAAGAUUAGGUUCCACGGUCUAGGAGCCUGGGAACGAUGGUAUGAAAUCGGGAAUUUUUAGGAUACCUCGGAGGAUAUAAUAGUUCAGAUUUUACCGAGUUGCGGUUGACAGCGUUCUUAGCAAAGUCUGCAAACUUUGAACUUCAUACCGACGUACUUCUUGAUCGGCCUCAACUAUGAACAAACGACUGCAGGACAUAACUGACAGCGAUAUCUCGCGUUCACAUCUUUCUCCUCCGACAUACACGACCUUAACUGCAAAAGUCGUCAGCGUUCACGAUGGCGACACUUGUGAUUUGGUGUAUAUACGAAACGGCCGCUUUGAACGGUUCAAAUGUCGCUUGGCCAAUAUUGACACACCGGAGUUAGGCACUGGUCUGAGAGCGAAGAAGGCCCGUGAUUUCCUAGUUUGGUUAAGCCUGGAUAACAAUCCAGCAAGCUUUCCCGGCAGCAGUCAGCCAUUUUCAGAGCAUCAAAUUCAGAACAGCUUGGACGGCAACAAAGGGCUGGUUAAUGCGGAAUUUCAAGGUACAGGCGGAUACGGAAGACCUUUGGUUGUCUUAAGAAAGUCUUAUGGGAAAUCCUUUAAUGAUCUCCUGAUAGAUUAUGGCUAUGCUAAUCGUUACCGCUAAAAAACCGCAUCUUCUGACACUGAUUACGGAUUAAACACAAACUAAAUAUCAUAUUUUUAGGGGACAUUAGUUUGUCAUUACUCGUUAGCUAAAUAGAAAAGGGCUUCGAUUUUCAUCUUCACUGACACUGAAUUUUGGUUGUCUUUGAAAUGACUUAUAUUCGUAUAAUUUGAGAACGACUUCGACACAAUAUCUUACGUAAUUAAGUAGUAUUAUAUCUCUUAUAGUUUAAGGUUAUUUAUAAGUCACACAUUUAAUAUAUCUUAUUGUUGGUACAAAUGAUAAAUGUCUUUGGUAAUCUUUACUUUGCCUAUUCCACAGACAAAUUUUGCAUUUCUCGGCUGAAUAAUCAGACUUAAUUUCCAUUUAUGUAAACGAGCAAGCGGGCGGUCUCUUUUCACGGUAUUUCCCCCAAUUCUGGGAAGAGAAAAACGAAAGUUGCUGAAAUGGCACAAUCGCAAUCAUUCUCGUUUCCAGAGCCCGCGAUUUCCUCUGGCGAGGAAACAAAGGCUUAUUUUCACAGAUUUGUGCGAAAGUUAAAGUGGAAGUGAAGUCUGUUCUGCACAUAGGCACAGAGCAUACAGAGUUUUGACUGCCGUUAAUUUUGCGUACCCCUGGCUUAGCCAGUGCGCUUAAGAGAGGCCUUCUCCCCCCGGGAAAGCAUGCAUAUGGCGGCGGCUUGAACACAUGAAUGGAAUAUAAACAGCCGAGACAAUUAUCCUUUAGAAGAGUAUAGAAGUGGGAGCGAUCUGUUUAUUUAUAUAGCGAUGGCUAUUUAUAAUGUUUGGUGGGGAUAGAGCCUCUCUUUAGCGCACUGGCUAACAACAUGGCCGCUAGGAACCCAUAAUUAAUGCAAGGUCAAACCUCUGUAUGCUCUGUGACAUAGGUUCUGCUUUGCAUCGGUUCUGUUUUGAGACAAGUUUUCAUGAUCGUGUUAAAAAUUAAAAUACUUUUCCAGACCAUGUUUAAAAUGAAGGAAGCUACGGUCGUAGGACAAAAAUAAUGAAAACCCUCGAGUGAUCUUUCCUGAUUAUAAAAAAGCACUUGUCUUAUGCAUGUGGGUGUCUUAUCUAGGUAUAAUCUCCUAAUAUAUUGUACCUCUAAUUCAAGUCUUCAUUAAGGCCAGGAUAUGGACUUAAGAAUAAUACAUUAUCUCGGCAUAUUGCCUUUGAAAUUACCGAUAAAUGCUGACGAAAUUUUGCCACCAUGGUUACGAGAUGAGCUCUGCAUAAUGAACAUUCAGGAAAGGCUUAUGCGUUUUAUCACUCCAUCACUCGGUCUUGGCACCUGAAGCAAGAAACAGCUCAAAAUACAACAACAAGAAGAGUUUUGAAGAAGAAGAGUUUCACAAGUAUAACAACAAUGAAGAGUUUUGGGCUCUGUUGUUUGCUUUUGUUAGCUUCAGCCUGCGUGUUUGUCGCUCGAGCUAAGUUGCAAAAUAAGCCUGAGCUAGCGGAUGAAGUAGGUGACGAAGAUGACACGGAAGCCAACGAAAAAGACACGGGAGCCGACGAAGAGGACGCGGAAGCCAACAAAGAAAACACGGAAGCUCACGAAGAAAACGAAUUUUGGGAAACCGAAAAAGAUGAAGAAACUACAGAUGUUGCUCCUCACAAGCCCAAGAAGCAAGGUUGGUAAUAUAGCAUGUUGGGAAUGCUACCAAUUCCAUAGAGAGCAUCAAUUGUGCGAGAUCUGUGCUCGACGUGUAUGUACGCGAUCGUGCUGGCAAAAAUCAUGCAAAAUAGUUACAUGCAGUGGAGUAAGACCAUCGUAUCGUAUCCAGUACACAAACGUCAGACACGGUCACGGGCAUCGCCAGUUUAAAAAGAUCAUACAAUUGCCAUACGGAGUUUGUUGGAGUCCAACCAAAAUCUGCUACCAAUGUGACUAUAUCCCUUCCAAAUGUAAAGAGGUCUGCCGCUUGGAAUACGACGUCAAACCGGUGAAGUCAUGAUGCCUAAUUUUCUUAAAAUGGUGAACAAUGUACUCUUUACCGAAAGUAGUCAAAAUUUAUGGGUUCUAAUUGGGU
Molecule: RNA transcript, 3220 nt
Organism: Dendronephthya gigantea
Lineage: Eukaryota; Metazoa; Cnidaria; Anthozoa; Malacalcyonacea; Nephtheidae
Exons: 4
Source: RefSeq, a predicted model, not a curated record